Molecule: long non-coding RNA, 545 nt
Organism: Panicum hallii
Lineage: Eukaryota; Viridiplantae; Streptophyta; Magnoliopsida; Poales; Poaceae
Exons: 2
Source: RefSeq, a predicted model, not a curated record
UGCCGAUCCCGCUAGCCCUUGGGUAUUUUCUUCCAGUUUUCCAGGUCCAACCGUGCUGUGGUUCUCUAGGCGUGGAAACAUAGCCUUGAAUGGCUUCAUGAAGCGUUUCCCACCAAAAAGCUCACCAGAAGCAAGGCCAGAUACUGAAGCGACAUCAGUCUGAAGUUUCUCAUGAAAUCCUACACAAAUAAGGAUUCUUUCCUACACAAUGUUGGACGAGGACCAAAAAAGGCGUUGACUCUUCUAUCAUUUUAACAUCGUGGAUCACUUGGAAAGAGCACAACAGCUGGGUAUUCCAGGGUUCAACGUCCCCAACUGCCCAGUUCAUGAACAUGGUCAAGCAAAAGAUGGAACUCUGGAUUGCUGGCAGAGCAAAAGAUCAUGGUCAUUUACUGUUGCGAGAACAAGACUUAGAUCAACAGUGUUUCUAGUGCUUCUAAUUGAUUGUUUUCUCUCUGUGUAACUCCUAGAACGUAGACAGAAUUUGCACGCAUUCUGUACAUGUUUUCUUCUUUCCUACACUAGCUUUUAACAGCAAAAGUUCA